GGUGAAAAGCACCCCGGAAGGGGAGUGAAAUAGAACCUGAAACCGUGUGCUUACAAGUAGUCAGAGCCCGUUAAUGGGUGAUGGCGUGCCUUUUGUAGAAUGAACCGGCGAGUUACGAUUUGAUGCAAGGUUAAGCAGUAAAUGUGGAGCCGUAGCGAAAGCGAGUCUGAAUAGGGCGUUUAGUAUUUGGUCGUAGACCCGAAACCAGGUGAUCUACCCUUGGUCAGGUUGAAGUUCAGGUAACACUGAAUGGAGGACCGAACCGACUUACGUUGAAAAGUGAGCGGAUGAACUGAGGGUAGCGGAGAAAUUCCAAUCGAACCUGGAGAUAGCUGGUUCUCUCCGAAAUAGCUUUAGGGCUAGCCUCAAGUGAUGAUUAUUGGAGGUAGAGCACUGUUUGGACGAGGGGCCCCUCUCGGGUUACCGAAUUCAGACAAACUCCGAAUGCCAAUUAAUUUAACUUGGGAGUCAGAACAUGGGUGAUAAGGUCCGUGUUCGAAAGGGAAACAGCCCAGACCACCAGCUAAGGUCCCAAAAUAUAUGUUAAGUGGAAAAGGAUGUGGCGUUGCCCAGACAACUAGGAUGUUGGCUUAGAAGCGGCCAUCAUUUAAAGAGUGCGUAAUAGCUCACUAGUCGAGUGACACUGCGCCGAAAAUGUACCGGGGCUAAACAUAUUACCGAAGCUGUGG
This 689-nucleotide ribosomal RNA is filed under the name Staphylococcus aureus. RNAcentral describes it as "partial 23S ribosomal RNA". It matches the Rfam family "Bacterial large subunit ribosomal RNA", at positions 513 to 1205 of the family's 2925-position model. The record is from RNAcentral. Lineage: Bacteria; Bacillati; Bacillota; Bacilli; Caryophanales; Staphylococcaceae.